RNAcentral lists this ribosomal RNA (460 nucleotides) under uncultured bacterium. RNAcentral's name for it is "partial 16S ribosomal RNA". It matches the Rfam family "Bacterial small subunit ribosomal RNA", at positions 338 to 795 of the family's 1533-position model. The record is from RNAcentral.
CCUACGGGAGGCUGCAGUGAGGAAUAUUGGUCAAUGGACGAGAGUCUGAACCAGCCAAGUAGCGUGAAGGAUGACUGCCCUAUGGGUUGUAAACUUCUUUUAUAAAGGAAUAAAACGAGGCACGUGUGCCUUUUUGCAUGUACUUUAUGAAUAAGGAUCGGCUAACUCCGUGCCAGCAGCCGCGGUAAUACGGAGGAUCCGAGCGUUAUCCGGAUUUAUUGGGUUUAAAGGGAGCGUAGAUGGGUUGUUAAGUCAGUUGUGAAAGUUUGCGGCUCAACCGUAAAAUUGCAAUUGAUACUGGCAGUCUUGAGUACAGUUGAGGUAGGCGGAAUUCGUGGUGUAGCGGUGAAAUGCUUAGAUAUCACGAAGAACCCCGAUUGCGAAGGCAGUUUACUAAACUGUGACUGACAUUGAUGCUCGAAAGUGUGGGGAGCAAACAGGAUUAGAUACCCCAGUAGUC